GGCCGGUUAGCUCAGUCGGUUAGAGCAUGUUGCUGAUAACAUCAAGGCCACGGGUUCGAUCCCCACUUGGUCU
This 73-nucleotide transfer RNA is filed under the name Apaloderma vittatum (bar-tailed trogon). It matches the Rfam family "tRNA". Rfam says of the family: Transfer RNA (tRNA) molecules are approximately 80 nucleotides in length. Their secondary structure includes four short double-helical elements and three loops (D, anti-codon, and T loops). Lineage: Eukaryota; Metazoa; Chordata; Aves; Trogoniformes; Trogonidae. The record is from Rfam by way of RNAcentral.